Molecule: transfer RNA, 88 nt
Filed under: Burkholderiales bacterium
Lineage: Bacteria; Pseudomonadati; Pseudomonadota; Betaproteobacteria; Burkholderiales
Also listed under: 4 other names
Description: tRNA-Ser
Rfam family: tRNA
About the family: Transfer RNA (tRNA) molecules are approximately 80 nucleotides in length. Their secondary structure includes four short double-helical elements and three loops (D, anti-codon, and T loops). Further hydrogen bonds mediate the characteristic L-shaped molecular structure. tRNAs have two regions of fundamental functional importance: the anti-codon, which is responsible for specific mRNA codon recognition, and the 3' end, to which the tRNAs corresponding amino acid is attached (by aminoacyl-tRNA synthetases). tRNAs cope with the degeneracy of the genetic code in two manners: having more than one tRNA (with a specific anti-codon) for a particular amino acid; and 'wobble' base-pairing, i.e. permitting non-standard base-pairing at the 3rd anti-codon position.
Source: RNAcentral
GGAGAGUUGGCAGAGCGGUCGAAUGCGGCGGUCUUGAAAACCGUUAGCCCGCAAGGGCUCGGGGGUUCGAAUCCCUCACUCUCCGCCA